This 253-nucleotide ribosomal RNA is filed under the name uncultured bacterium. Its description in RNAcentral is "partial 16S ribosomal RNA". It matches the Rfam family "Bacterial small subunit ribosomal RNA", at positions 524 to 776 of the family's 1533-position model. The record is from RNAcentral.
UACGUGGGGGGCAAGCGUUGUUCGGAAUUACUGGGCGUAAAGGGCUCGUAGGCGGCCAACUAAGUCAGACGUGAAAUCCCUCGGCUUAACCGGGGAACUGCGUCUGAUACUGGAUGGCUUGAGUUUGGGAGAGGGAUGCGGAAUUCCAGGUGUAGCGGUGAAAUUCGUAGAUAUUGGGAAGAACACCGGUGGCGAAGGCGGCCAUCUGGACCGCAACUGACGCUGAGGCGCGAAAGCGUGGGGAGCAAACAGG